UCCUACGGGAGGCAGCAGUGGGGAAUAUUGCACAAUGGGGGAAACCCUGCUCCAGCGACGCCGCGUGAGUGAAGAAGUAUUUCGGUAUGUAAAGCUCUGUCAGCAGGGAAGAAAGAAAUGACGGUACCUGACCAAGAAGCCCCGGCUAACUACGUGCCAGCAGCCGCGGUAAUACGUAGGGGGCAAGCGUUAUCCGGAAUUACUGGGUGUAAAGGGAGCGUAGACGGUGAUGCAAGUCUGGAGUGAAAGGC
Molecule: ribosomal RNA, 251 nt
Filed under: uncultured bacterium
Lineage: Bacteria
Description: partial 16S ribosomal RNA
Rfam family: Bacterial small subunit ribosomal RNA
Source: RNAcentral